CGCUGGCGGCGCGCUUACACAUGCAAGUCGAGCGAGAAAGGGGCAACCUGAGUACAGCGGCGUACGGGUGAGUAACACGUGGGUGAUCUACCUCUUUGUGGGGAAUAACCCUGGGAAACCGGGGCUAAUACCGCAUAAGCCUGAGAAGGGAAAGCCGAAAGGCGCAGAGAGAGGAGCCCGCGGCCGAUUAGCUAGUUGGUGAGGUAACGGCUCACCAAGGCGACGAUCGGUAGCCGGCCUGAGAGGGCACACGGCCACACUGGCACUGAAACACGGGCCAGACUCCUACGGGAGGCAGCAGUGGGGAAUCUUGCACAAUGGAGGCAACUCUGAUGCAGCGACGCCGCGUGAGCGAUGAAGCCCUUCGGGGUGUAAAGCUCUUUCGGCAGGAACGAUAAUGACGGUACCUGAAGAAGAAGCUGCGGCUAACUACGU
RNAcentral lists this ribosomal RNA (435 nucleotides) under uncultured bacterium. RNAcentral's name for it is "bacterial SSU rRNA". It matches the Rfam family "Bacterial small subunit ribosomal RNA", at positions 34 to 506 of the family's 1533-position model. The record is from RNAcentral.